Molecule: long non-coding RNA, 506 nt
Organism: Haliotis rubra (blacklip abalone)
Lineage: Eukaryota; Metazoa; Mollusca; Gastropoda; Lepetellida; Haliotidae
Exons: 3
Source: RefSeq, a predicted model, not a curated record
UGGCAGUGAACGGUGGCUGGAGCGCGUGGUCAGUGGUGGGCACGCCCUCAACGUGCACCAAGAUUUGCGGGACUGGACAGCAGCAGGUUUCCCGGAGUAGAACCUGCACCAAUCCCCCUCCUUCAAAUGGAGGCUUGACCUGUCAGGGCGACAACACAGAUACCAUCGUGCAAUCUUGCAACACAAGUCCCUGUCCUUGUGCCAGCCAGCCAUGUAAUACCGGAACGUGUGUCGAUGUCUCGGCAACGGUAUUCACAUGUGAAUGUCCUGUGAACAGAGUCGGUACCUUCUGUGAUAUAGAAUGCGACUACCCCUGUCCCCCCGGUGUCGGCAUUAUCUUCCCCGACCUCACCAGCCCAACCAAAUUCGUCAGCUGCUUCCAGGGACAACGGGCUUCGAGGGACUGCCCCGCAGGGACGUCCUACAGCAACGCUGAUAAUAACUGUGUCUAACACAGCACUCAGUCAGCGAACUGUAACUGUUGGUCAUUAAAAGUUUCGUUUCUC